RNAcentral lists this long non-coding RNA (1373 nucleotides) under Mustela putorius furo (domestic ferret). Its description in RNAcentral is "lncRNA (ENSMPUG00000027508.1)". The record is from RNAcentral. Lineage: Eukaryota; Metazoa; Chordata; Mammalia; Carnivora; Mustelidae.
UAUAGAAUUCUUUCACAUUUUUUGUUAAUUUCUAAGGCUAUUGUAAAUGGAAUUGUUUUCCUCCUUUCCUUUUCAGAUUAUUUAUUGCUCAUGUUUAGAAAUUCAACUGAUAUUUGUACGUUGACGUCAUAUCUUGCUGCUUUCCUGAACUCAUUUGUUAUUCUGAUGGUUUUAUUGUGGAAAGAGAAUCUUUUCUACAUAGAAGAUCGUAUCUCAAAUUUGCCUGGACAUUUCAUAUAAAUGGAAUCAUAUAGUAUCUUGUCCUUUGUGAUGACUUACGUCUCUUAGCAUAAUGUUCUUAUCGCUGAAUAAUAUCUGUUGUAUGGAUAUACCAUAUUUUAUCUAUUGGUAAGUAACUCUGGAUGGUUGAUAUUUGAGUUAUUUCCACUUUUCAGCUGGUAUGGAUAAUGCUGCUUUGAACAUUUUAUGUACACUUUUUGUGUCAACAUUUAGCCUCUCUCUUCUCAUUACAAAAUAGAAAAGAGGUGAGAUUUUAAAAUUUUAGUGGCUCCUUUUUGCUGAAAAUAAGAAAUUAAAAUAUCUUAAUAAGAAUUCUGUAGUUUUUCACAACUUGGCUAUAAUAUCAGGCUGUAAUAAUACCAGUCCCAUUUCUCUCUGUUUAACUCUCCUCCGUAGACCCUUUCCAAAGAGAACCCUUUUUCAGUUUGCAGAACAUGUUUUGCCUUCUUACCUCUGAAGCCAUUAACUUUCUUUUUGAUAUCCUGUUUCUAAUUCUUGGUCUGAACUGAAGCUUUUUCCCUCUCAAGAUACAAUUCAGAUGUCACCAGACCUUUGCAAAGUUUCAGACCUGGUUACUUCUGGUUUUCAGCAGUACUUUUAAUGUACAUCAAAUAGUAAUUAUCACAGGAUUUGUUUCUUUAUUUACCUGUGACUUCCUUUCUGUUGGAGCUCCUUUCAGAUAAGAAGUAUUUUAUCUCUAUAGCUUAAUACAGACCUUGAUGGAGCAUUGAAGCUUACAGUUGACUUAAGAGAGAGGAUGGGGUGCCUGGGUGGCUCAGUUGGUUAAGUGACUGCCUUCAGCUCAGGUCACGAUCCUAGAGUCCCAGGAUCAAGUCCUGCGGCAAGCUCCCUGCUCAGCAGGAAGUCUGCUUUUUCCUGUGACCUUCCCCCUCUCGUGCUCUCUCUCUCUCUCUCAUUCUCUCCUUCUCAAAUAAAUAAAAUCUUUUAAAAAAAGGAUUUAAAAUUAGGUAUUGUAUCAAAUUGGUCUGUAUUAUGAUCUCUGCGUGGUAUCUUUUCUGUUUUUUUAUUCUGUUUUAGUAUCAGUUAUACCUCAAUUACAAACAAUACUGAAGCUACCUAAAGAAAAAAAAAAUCUGUUGUUAUGUCUUCUUUUUCCCUGUGGUCCUAUGUCC